UACGUAGGGGGCAAGCGUUGUCCGGAUUUAUUGGGCGUAAAGAGCGUGUAGGCGGCCACACAGGUCUGCUGUGAAAACUCGAGGCUCAACCUCGAGCUGUCGGUGGAAACCGUGUGGCUAGAGUCCGGAAGAGGAGAGUGGAAUUCCCGGUGUAGCGGUGAAAUGCGCAGAUAUCGGGAAGAACACCCGUGGCGAAGGCGGCUCUCUGGGACGGUACUGACGCUGAGACGCGAAAGCGUGGGGAGCGAACGAGG
RNAcentral lists this ribosomal RNA (254 nucleotides) under uncultured bacterium. RNAcentral describes it as "partial 16S ribosomal RNA". It matches the Rfam family "Bacterial small subunit ribosomal RNA", at positions 524 to 777 of the family's 1533-position model. The record is from RNAcentral.